This 113-nucleotide non-coding RNA is filed under the name Bacillus sp. (in: firmicutes). Its description in RNAcentral is "Bacillus sp. SAM-I sequence". It matches the Rfam family "SAM riboswitch aptamer (S box leader)". Rfam says of the family: The SAM riboswitch is found upstream of a number of genes which code for proteins involved in methionine or cysteine biosynthesis in Gram-positive bacteria. The SAM riboswitch acts at the level of transcription termination control. The record is from RNAcentral. Lineage: Bacteria; Bacillati; Bacillota; Bacilli; Caryophanales; Bacillaceae.
UUCUUAUCAAGAGAGGUGGAGGGACUGGCCCUGUGAAGCCCGGCAACCAUACAGUACAAAACAACUGUAUAGGUGCUAAUUCCAGCAAGACAAACGUUCUUGGAAGAUAAGUG